This 7071-nucleotide long non-coding RNA is filed under the name Coffea arabica (coffee). RNAcentral describes it as "long non-coding RNA (CARA_LNC004057)". The record is from RNAcentral. Lineage: Eukaryota; Viridiplantae; Streptophyta; Magnoliopsida; Gentianales; Rubiaceae.
UUUUUUUUUUUUUUUUUUUUUAGGUGUGUCCCGCAGGGAGUGGACCCCGCAGACUAUUCACCACCCUCAGCAACUUGCUGGCAGCAAGGUUCGAACCAGGGACCUGAGGCUCCAUCUUCAGCAACCUCAACUACCAGACCAAGCCCCUGAGGGCGACCUCAAGAAAACCUAAUUCCUGCAUAUGACAGUUCUGUUCUGAAAUCAAAAGGAAGGAAAAAAGUUCACUCUUGAGGCUAAAGGACAGUCCAGACGAAAGAAAAAUUGUUUUUGUCUAUUGUGGCAAAUGAAAAAUACUUUAUCAGCAGACCUCACACACUCUGACAUGAGAUAGUCACCUCACACACUGUGAAAUGAGAUACUAUUUGGCCCAAAGGACUAGAAAUAAAAGUGCAUUUACACAAAGGGCCAGCUAUGGCUCCCUUUAGCUGUCAACAAGACUAGAUAAAGAAAACAUUUUACAAUUGAGUCAAGAAAAGUAAACUACAAUUUACAUUCUCCUUCUAUAAACAACUAUUUGGCUAAAAAAAUUAACAAAUAUAAACCACAACCAACAUGCUCUAUGAUGAGCAACCAUUUGGCCAAAUAAUUAAUAAGUAGACCAUCUGGAAAUGAAUAAAGCCUAGGUAUGAGAACCAGUAACUUAAAAGAGCAGGCAAGGAUAUAGAGAUCCCCAGAGUAAUAUUCCAAGAAGGUAGAUUUCUUCUCUCAGUCUGGACUAAAGAACAAAGUCUACUUCAAUCCUUAUAUCACCAUGAAAAGAGAAGGGGGAGUCAACAACAAACUAUGUCACCUUAUAGGGAUUUUAGGCUGGAUUUUGAAUUUUUAUCUGCUUAGUAUCCUCAUAGUCAUGAGAGAACUUAAACUAUGAAAGCUCUUGCUUGGCUAUUGGAGAAAGUGGGAAAGAAGGCAUUCUGUCUCUUGGUAUGGAACCCCACAUUCACCUGUAAUCUGAAACAUUUUCAAGUAUGACAAUUAAAAUACAGAGCUUUGAGAGCAUAGAGAACCAAUAUGGGAUUCGCUACAACAACCCAAUUUUCGAUCGGCAUUAGGAGUACACAAUUCUUCCCUUCAUGUAUGGAUACUCAUAAGAAAAUCUUCCUGACUUGAUAUAUUAUACAGAUGGAACAUUGGGGGCACCCGUGGAUGGGGUUUUCUUGUUUUCUUCGUUUUUUUUUUUUUGGGGGGGGGGGGGGGAGCACAAAGAAAAGAAGGAAAGAAAUAUUAAAAAGUUUACAAAGAGAAAGAAGGAAAACAAGUCUUUUAGUAAUUUCCCAUAUCAUAUCUCAAAUUCCAAACAUCCAGGUAGCAGGACAUUUCCCUUUCCUCAAUAAAUUUACUAUCAAAGGAAACCCAAACUAAAUAAAGGCACAAACUUUUCUCUAAGAAAAACAAAACAGCAAAUGUGCACAUCCAACUAACUCUAUGGUUUUGUUAUAAAAAUAACUCCAUCAUCCUUUCAUACAGCUGCUUGCUUUCAACAAGAGUUCGUUCAGAUUUGAUAGCAAUGUAUUUCUUUACAAAUACUUUGCUUUUAGGCCUCACUAGGUUUAAACUUUUCAGAAAAGCUAUAUCUAUUUAUGCUUCCCCUACAAUCAUUGGAAAUUUAUUCUACCAUGAAAUUAAACCCCUAGCACUCCAAAAUGGUUCUUGACAACAAGAAAUUUGGGCUCAUCUCUCACCAAGGCUUGACAAGGCACAAUAUGGCAAUCCAAUCCCAAAAAUUCCAACUUUCUCAAAAAAACUAAAUAAACAUCCACUGCUUGACCUAAUACUGGAUAUUGAAAGAUAACACUUCAACAAGAACAUCUACUGAAUAUCUGUUUACUUGGGAUUUCCAACAAGAAGCUGAAAACCCACGAUCAUAUAUUGCAUAAAAGCUAACAUCUUGUUGAAAUUCCUAACCACACCCAUCUUAGAAGCAACUAUACCAUAGCUGCAACUUUGCCCCCUGGUAGGCAUGAAUGCCAACCAUCAUUUGCUUUUCCUCUUUAAUUCUGAACCAUAUAAGUUCUAUAACUAGAUUCAAAACCAAUUUCUUCUGUGUUAAAACUGAAUGCCAACACCGCACUCUUUUAGUUCCCAAAUUAAAAUACCCAUUAACCAAUGCCUUUUACUGAUUAAUUCAAGCAUAAAUCUCCAUAAAAUCAUUCAUUUCUUGGAUCUCUUGCACAUUGUUUUAUACUAGCUUUUAACCCAGAAUUUCCUUCACACUUAAACCAUAUUUUCACAAUUUUCUGCCAAUAAAAUACAUGCAAAGAUAACAGAAAAUACAUUGACUGAGUGGGAUAUAUAUACAUAACCACGUUGUAUGAGUCCAUUGUGUACAGAACCGGCAAUUGAAUCAAAUCAUUAACAGAUCACAUAAAAAGGAUAAUGUACAUAAUCUCAUCAGCAAUCAAUUAAGACGAAAUUGAAACCACAAUAAAACAAAGGUAGAAAAUCAUAGACUAAAAUCCCUUAAAAAUUAAUGGAUUAAUUUCAUUAUUUUCAGUUUACCUCAGCCAUUUGACGAGACGGGAUCGAUCGAAAAUGAUGUGAAAAUGAGACAGAGCACUUUCUUCUGGUCGGCGGGAGAGAGUGUUGGAAACUAGAAUUGUUACGUUUUGUUUCAAUGAUUAGUAGCAGUAGAAUUAGCUCAGAUUAGUUUGCAACCCUUAAUAUUUUCUUAGUUUUUACUUUUCGCCCUUCACCUUUUAGUUUUUGACACAUAGCCCCCAACUGUCUUACAAAAGCUCUGGUAAAAAUAUUUUUUUUUCCCAAAAUAAGGUUACAUAUACCUUACAAUUGCAAGAUCAGUACAACAAAUUAGUUGUCAUUUAAUUUACAACUAAUACCCGCAAUUGAUUUAGAGAAAUGCCAAACUAGAAAUAGAGCAAUCUCAUAAUUAACUUGUAUACAACUUAUACACUUAAUUUAAUUUAAUGGAAAAGGCAUUCUUCAUGCGUUUGUUCAAGAAAAGUAAAUCAUGAGGGAAAAGAGCAAAAAGAAAAUGAGAAGGCAAAGGUGAUUUAUGCAUUAUUCCUUGGUUUGGCAGUUUUUUUUUUUUUUAAGUCACAAGUAUAUUAGUAGAAUUUUCAAAACUAUGACAAACGGGUCAUUUUGAAUCUCUUGCUCCCAAUUUAUGCAUAGGAAAAUAGUUCUUGAAAUACAUUUAGCUCCAAAUAUAGUGGUUAAGAAAAAUUAAGGGAAUAAGUGGAGCGCUGAUUUUAAAUAUAAGGGAAUAAGUGGUUAAGAAAAAUUAAGACUACGCGUGGGUAAAAAUUGAAGAUAUAUUAGAAGUAUCAACAAAACGUGUUUAUUUUGCAUGUUGGAGACACACAACUCUAGACUUUUUAGCCAAUUUCCUAAUGUGUGGAUUUUUUGGUAUGAAGUUAUAUAAGGAUGGGAAAAUUUGGAGAUUAGUUAUUGUUUUUGGCAAUUGAUGAACAACAAAGAGGUAAAAGAGUGAUAAACCACAUAAAUAUGAGGAAAUUAUAAUGGUAAACGCAAAAUUAGGAGGAAAACUUAUAAUUAAGCUUUCUCUAAUCAAUUAACUGUCUAUUUUAGGUAGCAUAUCUUUUAUUCUUGCUCCCACAAAAAAAAAUUUUUUUGUUGUAGAAUAGCUCUAAUUCUCAUUACUUAAAUCCAGCCAAAUCCCUAUAAUACAUAUAUUUAAAAUAUCAUAUCUCUAUAUUUUUUUCUCAUAAGUUGCAAUGAUAAACCUCUUCGAGUAUUCCUAUCUUCCACAUGUUUAGGUGAAAUUUCUCUGAUAGGCUCCGGCUUUUUCCGUUUAAUAGGUCUCCAUAUUUAAGAGGAAGUUUGGGUUUUAUAUUGUUAGAAUUUCAAUUUUUGCUAUCCAUUCUCUUAAAAGAAGUUAAAUCAUAUUAUUAACGAUAAUUUUUAAUGCUUUUAGUUUACAAGAAGAUGAUGGCUAACAAGUAGCAGCAUGUUCUUCAACUAAUGAUCAAAUUACGAGACAGUGAUACUUUAUUACAAGGUACCACUACAUCAGUAGAUGUGUUACUGCUGUUUCUAAAAAUUGAUAUGGAAUUCAGGUUAGUGAAACCCUAUAUGUCCACCGAUGCAAAAGUUCAAAGGUGUCUCUAAACCAAAGUUUUCUUUUGUACACUCUCUCUUUUUUCUGAUCAUUAAAAGCAUGAAAGUUUACGUGUAAAAAAAGUUUUUAUUACAUGUCAAAUAUCCUUAUGAUGAGUGAACCCUACAUGCUUAUUUACUCAUCCCCAAACCACCAAUCCUAAAAUGUCUCAACCCCCGAAAAAUUGCAGUUGAAUUCGCAUCACCUAAAAAAUAGUAGACGGCCUCUUUCAUACACGUUGACUGACUAAGUAAAAUGCUAAAAGAGAGAGAAAAGGAAGAAAUGUUCAACAGAGUCCAGUAAUAAUACUUCGUAAUUAAACCACCUUCAUUGAUUUGUAAACCAUCUUGGAAAGACCAUUGUUGUUCCAUACUGCAUAUUUGCUCAUGGCUGAGAAUUCUGCUCCCCCAGAAGAAGUUGUAGUGCCUGUUCCAGAAGAAAAAAAUGAAGCCAAAGAAAAAGAAGUCGUGGUGACUAUUCCUGAAGCAAAAAAUGAAGCCGAAGAAAAAGAAGUUGCAGUGCUUAUUUCUGAAGCAAAAAAUGAAGCCAAAGAAAAAGAAGCUAAAGAAAUCCCUGAUGAUACUACCACCACUGCUGCUGCUGCCACUACUAAUACUAGUGUGGCAGCUAAAACAGAUAAAAUGAAGAUUAUUGUGCUUUCAUUAACCGUACUUUCAUUUCUUCUUUCCUUUCCAAUCCUCUUUUCAAUCGCUUGGUUGCUGUACUUGAGACAAUAUGACUGUGAAAACCUUCUUGACUUGCCAAAGUUACAACUUGUGAUUGUCAUUGGUCUAGCAAUUGUCUUCUUUGUGAGCAACUUUGUAGUGAAAUUUGGAAGCCGGUUUCCUAUGCUUGGACUUCUCUUAGUUGUGGUGCCACUGAUUUUGAUGCUGAUUGUUGGUCUUGGACUUGAGGGUGCUUUUGACAUGGAAGCUCGUACCAUACCCGGUACUCCUAGAUGGCUUGAGUUCAGGGUGGAUAAUGACUACAAUUGGAAGGAUAUCAAAUCCUGCUUGUAUGCUACAACGACAUGUAGAGAGUUGGCGUUAAGGUCUUAUACCACCAAAUCCUUUGACUUCACAGCAAGCAAAUUAUCAUCGAUUGAGGUACUAAGCUAAUAUAAAUGUCACAUGAAAUAGUAUACGUGUGCUUGAGUAGACAUUACAGACAAAGAAUUGUUUGGCUGGUCGAAUAUAUAUAUAGGUAUAUGUAAAAUAUAAAUCACUAGUUUUGCAUAUGGCAUAUCCUAAAAACAUGUUGAAUGCUAUUGGCUUAGUUUUGCAUGAGAAAAUUAGUUUUGAAACUAAUUUCUACAUUAGCAGAAUACUUCUUUUUCAAUGGUUCAUACACAUGUUAUUAGGCAGUGUUUGAUACUUUAAUUCAACCAACAACUUAAAAAAAAAAAUUAUGAUCGAAUUUUUUUCAAUAAAUAGUGUGCUUAGUUUGAGUGAUUUGUGUUUUCUUUGGUCAUAUCACUUCUACAAUUGCACCUCUAUUUACAUUUUACAUUUACUCACUGGACUGUUUUUUACAUUGGCGCAAUUGUCUAGUCUGGUUGUUGUCUGCCGCCAACAAGCUGUGGAAUGGAGUACGUGAAUGCCACAUUCUGGAGGAAAGAAGAUUCAACACUGGAUGCGUCCAACCUAUUGGAGAGGGAUUGUGAUCUAUGGAAGAAUGAUGAAACCAUUCUGUGCUACAACUGCCAAGCCUGUAAAGAUGGAUUUCUCAAACCAUUACUUGGUAAAUGGCAGAACAUUGGGACCUUCCUCGUUGUCAUGGCUGCUCUGCUUUCAGUCUCGCAUCUGUUGCUUUUUAUUUCUACAAUGUGGGAGCAACUUCGAGGAUACCAUAAAAGCAAAUUAAUCGCACAUUCAUUUUAACUGACUAAGAGUUAUUAGAUGAGGUUUUGGAUUUGCAAGCUAUUUCAUCCUUUGUUCUUUACUUUGUUAUACAUCUUUUUCGUGUAUAAUCGGGGACAUCUUUGAUGCUAUGGUCAUCUUGGUUUUCGGUUUUUCACCAUCCCUUGACAGAAGCAGAAGCUACCAAUUUUUUCCAUGCUAUCAAGCUCUUCUUUGAUUGUCAUAUGGGCAAAAGUAUGUUUUGGAUUAUAUACCACGAAUUUUUAAGGAGUCGUAAGUUAUCAUUUCCUGAACUCCAAAAUCUUGGUUUCAUCAGGCAAAUCACACUGACUAAUUAGGAGUGGUCAGUUAUAAAACCUCCACCAUUAGGUGCCAAUACGACAAAUUUGUUUUAUCAUACACAAGCCAAUUAUCCUUAUUAAGCUUUACCAAAACCAAAACUCUCCUCCUCCCAUCCUGAAUUCAUGCACAGUGCAGACUAGGAUGAAACAAGAUGCAAGGAAAACCACAGGAUUGAAGAGACUGCAUCUCUUCUGAGUAUUCAAUGACAUGAAUAUCAGCAUCCAUGGGCGUCUCUUGAUUGAUAAGUACUUUCUUCAAGGUGAUUAAUAUAUUCCUUGCUAUUUUCCAAUCCCAAACCUUAUUAUGCCCCAACCUAACCCCAACAGAGGGAGACCAAGCGGGAGAAUAGAAGGGAGGAGACAUAAGUCAAAAUAAACUACACAAACAUAUCUGGACUGCAAAAGGACAAUAAAAGAGGAAAGCUAUAUUAUACAGAAGCUAACAACAUGCUACAAUUCUUGUAGUAAAAUUUGGCUAAAGCCAUGAAACAGGUUACGAUAACUUACAAGGAAUUCUCAGAGUUAACGAGUACAAGCCUACAAGCUAGUAUUUGGUAAAUCAUCAACACAAGAUUCUACUAAGUUGCAUACGAAGGGACACCAGGAUCCAGUUUUGGCUGAUACAUUCACCUCCGAGCAUGCGAGGCAUCAUAUGUUCCCGUCCAUGAAGGAUUCCCAGCAGCACCAGCAACAGCUCCUGCUACAGCUCCAACUCCAUCAGGAGCACCUGCAGUGACGGAACCACCAUACGGGAUCAUUCCCGGGGAUAUAGGCCCAGCACCCAUCGGAACAGCAG